Molecule: transfer RNA, 74 nt
Filed under: Methanoregulaceae archaeon PtaB.Bin152
Lineage: Archaea; Methanobacteriati; Methanobacteriota; Methanomicrobia; Methanomicrobiales; Methanoregulaceae
Description: tRNA-Cys
Rfam family: tRNA
About the family: Transfer RNA (tRNA) molecules are approximately 80 nucleotides in length. Their secondary structure includes four short double-helical elements and three loops (D, anti-codon, and T loops).
Source: RNAcentral
GCCCGGGUGGCAGAGCGGCGAUGCGUCAGACUGCAGAUCUGAUUUUACAUGAGUUCAAAUCUCAUCCCGGGCUC